This 546-nucleotide long non-coding RNA is filed under the name Helianthus annuus (common sunflower). The record is from RNAcentral. Lineage: Eukaryota; Viridiplantae; Streptophyta; Magnoliopsida; Asterales; Asteraceae.
AUGGAAGUCAUUUCAUCGAUGAAUCUUAUGGACCACACCUUAGGAGCACCCUUAUCUUCUCCCCUUCACAUUCUAACACCCUUAGAUUACUCACACACUCAUCUUCAUCCUCUCAUCGCAUUCACACACACCACCGUCGGAUCAAUGUAAUUCAAUGUGCAAAUGGAGACUGAAUCGAUCAUAGCCGGAUUGCAGGUGUUGGAGACCUAGAAUCACCACACGGCGGUACGGGUCACGGUUGUUUUGAGGUGGUUGAACGAUUUCGCGUUCAACCUUUGUGUCGUCUUCCCACCGCCACCACCAGAUCACCGCUAUCACCACCGCCGUCACCAUCACCGUUUCCACCAUCGUCACCACAACAAUGCCAUCACCACCACCAUCCCCGGUCUACCCUCACCACCACCAUCACAGAACCACCUUCACCAAGACUAGAGUUGUUCUUUUCUUUUGAUUAUGGUUUAAGUAUUAGGUACUAAGUUUUGAUAUGUAUAAUUUUUGCAACAUUAGGUUUGGUACUAUGUGGUUUGAUUAACUUUUCAUAUGUAU